CCAGACUCCUACGGGAGGCAGCAGUGGGGAAUAUUGGACAAUGGGGGGAACCCUGAUCCAGCGACGCCGCGUGAGUGAAGAAGUAUUUCGGUAUGUAAAGCUCUAUCAGCAGGGAAGAAAGAAAUGACGGUACCUGACUAAGAAGCCCCGGCUAACUACGUGCCAGCAGCCGCGGUAAUACGUAGGGGGCACGCGUUAUCCGGAUUCACUGGGUGUAAAGGGAGCGUAGACGGCGACGCAAGUCUGGAGUGAAAGCCCGGGGCCCAACCCCGGGACUGCUCUUGGAACUGCAUGGCUGGAGUACAGGAGGGGCAGGCGGAAUUCCUAGUGUAGCGGUGAAAUGCGUAGAUAUUAGGAGGAACACCGGUGGCGAAGGCGGCCUGCUGGACUGUGACUGACGUUGAGGCCCGAAGGCGUGGGGAGCAAACAGGAUUAGAUACCCCAGUA
RNAcentral lists this ribosomal RNA (447 nucleotides) under uncultured bacterium. RNAcentral's name for it is "bacterial SSU rRNA". It matches the Rfam family "Bacterial small subunit ribosomal RNA", at positions 331 to 792 of the family's 1533-position model. The record is from RNAcentral.